Molecule: ribosomal RNA, 497 nt
Filed under: uncultured bacterium
Lineage: Bacteria
Description: partial 16S ribosomal RNA
Rfam family: Bacterial small subunit ribosomal RNA
Source: RNAcentral
GAUGAACGCUGGCGGCGUGCCUAAUACAUGCAAGUCGAGCGAACGGACGAGAAGCUUGCUUCUCUGAUGUUAGCGGCGGACGGGUGAGUAACACGUGGAUAACCUACCUAUAAGACUGGGAUAACUUCGGGAAACCGGAGCUAAUACCGGAUAAUAUUUUGAACCGCAUGGUUCAAAAGUGAAAGACGGUCUUGCUGUCACUUAUAGAUGGAUCCGCGCUGCAUUAGCUAGUUGGUAAGGUAACGGCUUACCAAGGCAAGGAUGCAUAGCCGACCUGAGAGGGUGAUCGGCCACCUGGGAACGGGGACACGGUCAAGACUCCUACGGGAGGGAGCAGUAGGGAACCGUCCGCAAUGGGCGAAAGCCUGACGGAGCAACGCGGCGUGAGUGAUGAAGGUCUUCGGAUCGUAAAACUCUGUUAUUAGGGAAGAACAUAUGUGUAAGUAACUGUGCACAUCUUGACGGUACCUAAUCAGAAAGCCACGGCUAACUACGUG